Molecule: long non-coding RNA, 1136 nt
Organism: Schistocerca cancellata (South American locust)
Lineage: Eukaryota; Metazoa; Arthropoda; Insecta; Orthoptera; Acrididae
Exons: 3
Source: RefSeq, a predicted model, not a curated record
AGCGGUCUGUUGCGCAUGCGCAUUUGACUCGCGUAUAAGCAGUACCUUCUCCCGCUUCCCGCUACUUGAAGUUUGGCUGUUAGCUGUAUCGGUAGUAGCAGCAAGCAGCCAGAUACAAACGAGAAAAAAUUUUCUCCCGCACCCUAGCUGCCAGAUUCACUCUUGCACAGAGUUGUAGUGGGGAGGGGGUUAACCUCCACGCGACCCGUGUUUACGUUAAGUGAUUUCGCUGCUUCUCUUCGUGUACAGCUCCCAUAUCAAAUGAAAACAAAACGGAUAUCAGUCUCACCACAAAAUGUCUGCAAUUGGUAGCUACAUUUUGGACACCCUGAGAAGAAAAUAGCAUUUAAUUCCAAUGACAAAUAACUAGCAACUGGAAAUUCGUUUGUUGAUUUGCACCAUACCUUUCGACUUGGAGUAACAACAAUCAGAGAAAUUGUAAGAAGAGUAUGUUCAUCAAUCUGGAUUACCUUUAAAGAUGAAUGUUUGUCAGAACCUACCAAAAAUGAUUGGUUACAAAUAGUAAAAGAUUUUGAAACUAAGGCCAAUUUCCCAAACUGUCUCGGUGCUGUUGAUGGAAAGCAUGUGAGAAUGGUGAAACCAGCAAACAGUACAUCAAUGUUUUUUAACUAUAAGAAAUAUUUCUCUAUUGUAUUAAUGGCUGUUAGUGAUGCAAACUACAAAUUUGUCGCUAUGGAUGUUGGAUCGUAUGGUAAAUGUGCUGACUCAACAAUAUUUCAACAGUCAGUGUUCUAUAAGCGAAUACUGUCUAAUAACUUGGACAUUCUCAGUCGCACAGCAUUCUGUGUCCAUAGGCUGGUCUCCGAGUUGAUAUGAAAAAAAGUAUUUAAUUAUCGUCAUUGUCAAGCAAGACCUUCAGAGUGCACUUUCGGGAUAAUGGCAAAUAAGUGGAGGAUCUUUCACAGGCCUCUGAAUGUAGACGUUGAUUUCGCUAUAGACAUUGUAAAGGCAUGUUGUAUUCUACACAACUUCGUACGAAACAGAGAUGGUGUACAAUUGAUACAUUGUAUGGAUAUCCUCGAAUUCAUGAGGAUACUCCACAACCAAUAUUCAGGCACAGAUCCAAUUCAUACUACAGAAAUGUUUUUGCCGAUUACUUUGCACAUGAAGGCGCU